CUGUGUUGUGUAGUAUGGAUGCUAAAGACCAGCCUCACUCGUGGACUUAGAAGCGUCAUAUUACUCAAUAACAUUGUAAUGACUUGAUUGAUUUCUUUACGUAAGAGCACGCAGCGGGGAAUUGUAAGGACAUUAUUUAAUUUGAAGCCUGUCCACUACCUAACAAAGCAACUUAUCCAUUCGAAUCGACACCACACGGGGAAUCGAAAGUGAUCAUCACUCACCGACAUGAACCAUUCCAGGAGUUAUCAAAGAUUCAUGUACCUUUGCUUUGUUCCGUUGUUAUGCAGUAUUCUGGGAACGGAAUCCGCCGAAAUGGAUCCUUAGACUGGGGGUCUCCUUGAUUAACCAGUCUUGUCUGUUACAAGACAUCACCUCAUUAGUUUGAGAUCUUCACAGCAUGGCUAAUACGUUCCACGUUAUGGCAAGAUUGGCCAGGAUACAUGGUGGCGAAACACCAUUGUAUAUUCCAGGGAUGUGCAUGUGUUGAUCUGUGUGUCUCUCUCUUACUGCGCGUGUGUGUGUGCGCGCGUGUAUGUAUGUGUGGGAGCGUGUAUGUGAGUGUUGGUUGUCGGUCUGACAAUACUGUAUUUUUCUGUUUCUUCAAGACGUGUUAUGUUGUCAGAAACAUCCCCUGUCCCCCUCACAAGGUCCGAUGGUCUGGCCCUUAAAGCAAGUCAUCAUUUUGAUCAUAAUGAGAUGACAAGACGUGUAAGUGAAACGAUAAUAAAUUCCUAUAUAAUUGGCUCCCUCUACACUGGCUAGACACACCUCGCGGCGAGAGGCUGAGAAGUCCUGGCUGAUCUAUACUGCCUGAUCUGUCUCGGUACCUUGGUUGACACCUUGACGGCGUGAGGCUGAGAAGUGAUGGCCGAUCUCUUCUGCCUGAUCGGUGUCGUGGCUUCGUUGCAUAUUGGUUGUGUGUAUCACUUUUAUCAUUGCUCAGUGCUGUUGUUUUAUUGACAAAUUUGUUUAAUGAGAUUUGUUUCAGGAUUGUUGUAUAUUUCACUGUAUUCCUUUAUGCAAACCAUGUCGUGCCUGGACUCAUUGUAGUAACUGUUCUUGGCAUGAUUUUCCCUGACCACAAAUGUUAUGAGUAAAGUCUUGUGGAGAAAUUGUUUAACACAUUCAUAUUAUAUAGUCGGAAUCAUACAGUAGAUAUUUCUAGAAUAAUGGACAUGAUCUUGUGGCUUUUGUUGCAAGUAUUUCACCCAGUUAUAGGUGGUUUCAAUACAUAGGACGCCCCACAAUGCCUUGCCAUCUAUAUUACACUAAUACAUGGUAUCAGUUUUUUGUGUAUUUUAAUUAUACAUAUGUAAGCCAUCAUAACUGCUACAAGAUGAUUACCAUAUGCAGUGUCUGAAACAUCAAGACGGAACCUGGCUCUGAAUAAACCAGCAUGGAGCAGUUGUAAGAGCACAUGGGAUGACAAGGCUGCUGCUGCUGCUGCUGUAGACGGCGAAAAUAAUACCUGCAUUCCCUCCAUGUAUUGGCAAUCCGCGAUGGCUUGUUGUGGAUCUGCUGGCACUAUACCACAUCCAGGACGUCAGCAUCUACACUGAAGCUGGAAACCUCCAUGACUUCACGCUUGAGAUCUACGAGACAAAUCCAUCUCGAUAUCGAACAGCAGCGCCCACCCUGCAAGAACUACACUCGACAGCUCGGUUCCCUUAAAACCAUAUCGUGUGAGAGACCAUUCGUGGGCAGAUACGUUCGGCUGAGGGCAGAAGUUGAGUCAACUUCUGCCCAUGGUGUCCUCAGACUUUGUGAAAUUAAAGUUUAUGGAAUCAAACAUGCGUACCAGACAUCAAACUACAUCCGAAUGCCAGAAGGAAGACUAAUUCCUCCAUUGGUGAAGUCGUCUGCCUUGUCCCGAGUGUCCUGUGUGCAGCAAUGCAUGUUGUCUGGAGCCUGUGUCGGUGUCAACUACAACAGUGGAACACGAGAGUGUGAGCUCCUCGGUCCGUGGGCUGAGCCCACUCACACAGUCCCCACCGAUCCGGACUGGGUCUACUAUAGAGAUGACAUGUGUUGAAAUGAAACAGUUGCCUCUGACCGGGUCUAAUGAGGAGACGAUCUGUGUUGACCUGACACAGUGUGUCAUCCCCCCGUGACUCUUGUAUUCACUUAUUAUACAGGAUAUGAUAUCUGGGAAAUGUAUACUUUCUACGACACUUGUAACAAGAUCUAGUGUUUACCCAGACCUGCCUUUUCCUAGGUACUGCUUAUCUACUUGUCCAUACUCGUUUAAGACAUUCCUUACACAGAUUUGUUUAUAGUCAAUUUGACAAAGUGUUUUUUAUUGUUUUUAAGUGGUUGUAGAGACUGAUGAAACAUCUAUUGAUUGUAACUGUAAACGGCUGUUAAUGAUGGCUGACUGACUGAAUAUGGUUUUACACCGCUUUUAGCAAUAUUCCAGCAAUAUCACGGCGGGGGACACCAGAAAU
This 2447-nucleotide long non-coding RNA is filed under the name Haliotis rubra (blacklip abalone). RNAcentral describes it as "uncharacterized LOC124265202, transcript variant X1". Lineage: Eukaryota; Metazoa; Mollusca; Gastropoda; Lepetellida; Haliotidae. The record is from RNAcentral.